GACGAACGCUGGCGGCGUGCUUAACACAUGCAAGUCGAACGGAAAGGCACUGCUUCUGUGGGGCGCUCGAGCGGCGAACGGGUGAGUAACACGUGAGUAACCUGCUCUCGACUUUGGGAUAAUUUCAGGAAACUAGGGCUACUAACGGCUAGGAGCUCCUGCUGCACGGUGGGGGUUGGAAAGUUUCGGCGGUCGGGGAUGGAUUCUCGGGUGAUGAGCUUGUUGGUGGGGUAGUGGCUUACCACGUCUCUGACGGGUAGCCGUCCUGUGAGGGUGACCGGCCACAAUGGGACUGAGGGACGGCGCAGACGCCAACGGUAGGCAACAGUGGGGAAUAUUGCGCAGUGGUCGGGAGCCUGAUGCGGCGACGCCGCGUUCGGGAUGACGGCCUACGGAUUGUAAACCGCUUUCGCCUGUUACGAAGCGUGAGUGACGGUAAUGGGUAAAGAAGCACCGGCUAACUACGUG
RNAcentral lists this ribosomal RNA (468 nucleotides) under uncultured bacterium. RNAcentral's name for it is "partial 16S ribosomal RNA". It matches the Rfam family "Bacterial small subunit ribosomal RNA", at positions 28 to 507 of the family's 1533-position model. The record is from RNAcentral.